This 448-nucleotide ribosomal RNA is filed under the name uncultured bacterium. RNAcentral describes it as "SSU rRNA". It matches the Rfam family "Bacterial small subunit ribosomal RNA", at positions 26 to 518 of the family's 1533-position model. The record is from RNAcentral.
AGAGCGAACGCUGGCGGCAUGCUUAACACAUGCAAGUCGCACGGGCAUUUCGGUGUCAGUGGCGGACGGGUGAGUAACGCGUAGGUAUCUAUCCUUGGGUGGGGGAUAACGGUUGGAAACGACUGCUAAUACCGCAUGAUAACUGAGGUUUAAAGGCGCAAGUCGCCUGGGGAGGAGCCUGCGUACGAUUAGCUUGUUGGUGGGGUAAAGGCCUACCAAGGCGACGAUCGUUAGCUGGUCUGAGAGGAUGAUCAGCCACAUUGGGACUGAGACACGGCCCAAACUCCUACGGGAGGCAGCAGUGGGGAAUAUUGGACAAUGGGCGAAAGCCUGAUCCAGCAAUGCCGCGUGUGUGAAGAGGUCUUCGGAUUGUAAAGCACUUUCGACAGGGACGAUGAUGACGGUACCUGUAGAAGAACGCCCCGGCUAACUUCGCGCCAGCAGCCGC